This 21-nucleotide microRNA is filed under the name Brugia malayi. Its description in RNAcentral is "bma-miR-2c". Its record names the gene bma-miR-2c. The record is from miRBase by way of RNAcentral. Lineage: Eukaryota; Metazoa; Nematoda; Chromadorea; Rhabditida; Onchocercidae.
CAUCACAGCACGAUUCGGCUC